RNAcentral lists this long non-coding RNA (1810 nucleotides) under Homo sapiens (human). Its description in RNAcentral is "HSALNT0353767". Lineage: Eukaryota; Metazoa; Chordata; Mammalia; Primates; Hominidae. The record is from RNAcentral.
GCGCGCAGCCGGCCGCCCUCAACCGCUCCCAGCAUCGGUUGCCGGUGGUUCGGGGCAGGGAGACGACGCAGCGCGAGCGGAAAGGGCGGUUACCCAACGGCCUUAGCUCUCAUGGCGUCCUCCGUGGUGUUACCUAAAAAUAAAGUUAUUUGUGAUUAGAAGAAGUUUUCAUGGGCUGAGCUGCUGACUUCAGCCUGGGAACUGAGGCCAACAUCGGAGUCUCCUCGGCACACAAGUUUGAAAGAAGUCCUAGUGACUUCAAGCUCAGAACCAUGGACGGCAGGGCUCCCUCUGGAUGUGGAAUUCUCCGUCCCUUUCCAGGGAGGGAACAAAGCCCACAAGCACCGAGACUCCUUCAGGGUGAGCAAAGGCCUGGAAAAACCUGUAUGCAGAUAAAGAAAAGGAAAGAAAGAGAUAAUCAGUGCAUGCAGUUGUCAGCUGGCUGGGACCUGAGGAGAGUCACUUGUGGAGGCAACUGGUCUUUAUCCCCAUUGUCCGGUACAAGGCAGGCAUUAAUCCUGUGAUCCUUAUCUGAAGCUCAGGUUUGAUUUUAUUCUUUUCUUAAGUACCUACUGUUAUCCCCAAGCUUAUAAUAAUAGUUUAAUUGUUACAGCCAGUAUCUCACCUUCAGAAGUAAGAUGCUUAGGAAACCAAGACAAGGAACUGUGUGUUGCAAACAGCAUCACCCUGGAGAAGAGGUGGCAGGAGGUGACCUACAGAAAAUGGAGUAAUAGCCUAGAGCAAGAAACACAGAACAAAAGAGAAAUGAGGGGUUAGGCAACCUCCUGGAGCACCAAUGGGACAAGCACAUAUUCAGGGGCCUCCUAACAGACUCGACUUCCAGCAUCCUCAGAUGGUGCUAGACACGUUACAUAGACGUUCAAGAGUAGAGAACUCAGGGACUUCUGAUUUAUAUCAAGAAAUGCAUACACAGCAGACGUGUGCCUGUGGAGUGGAAUUCUGGAAAAGCUCACAGCCCAGAACAUAAUGCAGACUCCCCCAGCCACAGCACCUUCCAAACCUGAGAAGAGUGCUGAUUCUCCAUCUGAGCACCCAUUCUCCUGCAACAUCAGGGGAGAGGAUUUCACCUAAGGGUCAGACCAGCAUCUCCAAACCCAGCUCCCCACCUUUGCCUGUUGGUGGCACUUGUGGGAGAAGGGGAGAUGGUAUGAAAAGAGCCACAACAGGAGUCACCUGGACAGGGUGGAGCUUGAUGGAAACUGACAUUUGUGCCCAUUGGAGGCAAAUGUAGAAUUUGGUAUCUUCCGUAGCGUCAGGCACAUGAAACUCUCCAGUGCCCAUGACUUUUGACAGUGACUUCAGAGCACAUCUGGGAGACCCAUGUGGCCCAGGCUCCACACAGGCAGGAGCUCAGCUUCACUCACAGCAGGAUUCCUAGUGCCAAGAACACCAUAGGUGCAUAGCAGGUGAUCAAAAUAAUUGUAUGUGGCUGAAUCAGUGAGAGGUAAGAGAGAGGACUUGAUCCUAGCUGCAAACUAAGAGACCUCAUUAAAACCUAACAUGUGGCUGGGUGUGGUGGCUCACGCCUGUAAGCCCAGCACUUUGGGAGGCCGAGGGGUGGAUCACCUGAGGUCAGGAGUUCAAGACAAGCCUGGCCAACGUGGUGAAAACCCAUCUCUACUAAAUAUACAAAAAAUUGGCUGGGCAUGGUGGCAGGUGCCUGUAAUCCCAGCUACUUGGGAGGCUGAGGCAGGAGAAUCACUUGAACCCAGGAGGCGGAGGUUGCAGUGAGCCGAGAUUGCACCACUAUACUCCAGCCUGGCAAUAAGAGCAAAAGUCCGUCUCAAAA